RNAcentral lists this ribosomal RNA (497 nucleotides) under uncultured bacterium. Its description in RNAcentral is "partial 16S ribosomal RNA". It matches the Rfam family "Bacterial small subunit ribosomal RNA", at positions 28 to 507 of the family's 1533-position model. The record is from RNAcentral.
GAUGAACGCUGGCGGCGUGCCUAAUACAUGCAAGUCGAGCGAACGGACGAGAAGCUUGCUUCUCUGAUGUUAGCGGCGGACGGGUGAGUAACACGUGGAUAACCUACCUAUAAGACUGGGAUAACUUCGGGAAACCGUAGCUAAUACCGGAUAAUAUUUUGAACCGCAUGGUUCAAAAGUGAAAGACGGUCUUGCUGUCACUUAUAGAUGGAUCCGCGCUGCAUUAGCUAGUUGGUAAGGUAACGGCUUACCAAGGCAACGAUGCAUAGCCGACCUGAGAGGGUGAUCGGCCACACUGGAACUGAGACACGGUCCAGACUCCUACGGGAGGCAACAGUAGGGAAUCUUCCGCAAUGGGCGAAAGCCUGACGGAGCAACGCCGCGUGAGUGAUGAAGGUCUUCGGAUCGUAAAACUCUGUUAUUAGGGAAGAACAAAUGUGUAAGUAACUGUGCACAUCUUGACGGUACCUAAUCAGAAAGCCACGGCUAACUACGUG